AACGUUACCAAUCUGUUGCCUCGGCGGGAUUCUCUUGCCCCGGGCGCGUCGCAGCCCCGGAUCCCAUGGCGCCCGCCGGAGGACCAACUCCAAACUCUUUUUUUCUCUCCGUCGCGGCUCCCGUCGCGGCUCUGUUUUAUUUUUGCUCUGAGCCUUUCUCGGCGACCCUAGCGGGCGUCUCGAAAAUGAAUCAAAACUUUCAACAACGGAUCUCUUGGUUCUGGCAUCGAUGAAGAACGCAGCGAAAUGCGAUAAGUAAUGUGAAUUGCAGAAUUCAGUGAAUCAUCGAAUCUUUGAACGCACAUUGCGCCCGCCAGUAUUCUGGCGGGCAUGCCUGUCCGAGCGUCAUUUCAACCCUCGAACCCCUCCGGGGGGUCGGGUUGGGGGAUCGGCCCCUCACCGGGCCGCCCCCAGAAAUACAGUGGCGGUCUCGCCGCAGCCUCUCCUGCGCAGUAGUUUGCACACUCGCACCGGGAGCGCGGCGCGGCCACAGCCGUAAAACACCCCAAACUUCUGAAAUGUUGACCUCGGAUCAGGUAGGAAUACCCGCUGAACUUAAGCAUAUCAUAAACGGGAAAGAAAACUCCCAAACCCCAAUGUGAACGUU
RNAcentral lists this ribosomal RNA (607 nucleotides) under Trichoderma longibrachiatum. RNAcentral describes it as "eukaryotic LSU rRNA". The stretch from base 195 to 348 matches the Rfam family "5.8S ribosomal RNA". Lineage: Eukaryota; Fungi; Ascomycota; Sordariomycetes; Hypocreales; Hypocreaceae. The record is from RNAcentral.